GAUGAAGAACGUAGUGAAAUGCGAUAAGGAAUGUGAAUUGCAGAAUUCAGUGAAUCAUCGAAUCUUUGAACGCAUCUUGCGCUCCUUGGUAUUCUGAGGAGCAUGCCUGUUUGAGUGUCAUUAAAUUCUCAACUACACUGACUUUGAAUUGGUGUGGCUUGGAUUUGGGGGGAAAAUUGUUGUGGGCUUUUUGUAUAGUCUGCUCCCCUGAAAUUGAUUAGCGGUACCUUUGUGGAACUGUCUACAGGUGUGAUAAUUAUCUACAUCUUAGACAUCUGCUGGAAUGCUGCUUUCUAAACCUUACUUGUAUUGACAAUCUUGACCUCAAAUCAGGUAGGACUACCCGCUGAACUUAAGCAUAUCAAUAAGCGGAGGA
This 376-nucleotide unclassified non-coding RNA is filed under the name soil metagenome. RNAcentral describes it as "partial contains 5.8S ribosomal RNA, internal transcribed spacer 2, and large subunit ribosomal RNA". The stretch from base 1 to 120 matches the Rfam family "5.8S ribosomal RNA", at positions 35 to 154 of the family's 154-position model. The record is from RNAcentral.